RNAcentral lists this ribosomal RNA (261 nucleotides) under uncultured bacterium. RNAcentral's name for it is "partial 16S ribosomal RNA". It matches the Rfam family "Bacterial small subunit ribosomal RNA", at positions 524 to 784 of the family's 1533-position model. The record is from RNAcentral.
UACGUAGGGGGCAAGCGUUGUCCGGAAUCAUUGGGCGUAAAGAGCGUGUAGGCGGCCUGGUAAGUCCGCUGUGAAAGUCCAGGGCUCAACCCUGGAAUGCCGGUGGAAACUGUCAGGCUCGAGUCCGGAAGAGGCGAGUGGAAUUCCUGGUGUAGCGGUGAAAUGCGCAGAUAUCAGGAGGAACACCAAUGGCGAAGGCAGCUCGCUGGGACGGUAGCUGACGCUGAGACGCGAAAGCGUGAGGAGCAAACAGGAUAGAAA